Long non-coding RNA from Oncorhynchus tshawytscha (Chinook salmon), 340 nucleotides. The record is from Ensembl. NCBI's taxonomy places the organism in Eukaryota, Metazoa, Chordata, Actinopteri, Salmoniformes, Salmonidae.
CCUAACCCGUACAGACAGGUACAGACAGUCUGCAGGCCCUAACCCAUACACACAGGUACAGACAGUUUGCAGGCCCUAACCCGUACAGACAGGUACAGACAGUCUGCAGGCCCUAACCCAUACACACAGGUACAGACAGUCUGCAGGCCCUAACCCAUAUACACAGGUACAGACAGCAUCAACACAGUCUGCAGGCCCUAACCCAUACACACAGCGUUAACACAGUCUGCCUGGGCAUCUGGAAGCAUUGGACUGUAGAUCUCCCAGAUCUCUCCAAGUCCAUUUGGGAUUGGGUGGAGUUUGAUAGUGCUGUAGGGCAUCAUUAGUAUCUAAAACACAG